AAAUAAGAAGCAAAACUUGCAUUUAAUUUCGACUUAAAAAUUAGAGUUAAUUAACUCCUUAUUUA
Molecule: transfer RNA, 65 nt
Filed under: Rhagastis binoculata
Lineage: Eukaryota; Metazoa; Arthropoda; Insecta; Lepidoptera; Sphingidae
Description: tRNA-Arg
Source: RNAcentral